Long non-coding RNA from Pogoniulus pusillus (Red-fronted tinkerbird), 931 nucleotides. RefSeq lists it as uncharacterized. NCBI's taxonomy places the organism in Eukaryota, Metazoa, Chordata, Aves, Piciformes, Lybiidae. The transcript is spliced from 2 exons. The record is from RefSeq and is a predicted model, not a curated record.
GGGGGCGCCGGCCACCCGCCAUAAAGUGAAUGGCCAGCGUGAAUGGGAGGCAGUCGAUCGGCGCCCUCCGCCCUCUCCGUGAGCCUCGGGCCGGCAGUGAGGCGCAGAGUGCCGGGGGGAUUUACUUUCUGACAGCUGCAGCGCAGGCCGGGUCGCGGGGCGGGGGCCAGCUUCGUCCCUCUCGCAGGAUUAAGGCUGCCCAGCCAAGCCCGCAUCUGGAGCCGCUGAACUUCUCUGUGGAGCCAUGCAUAGAAAGAGAAGAGAGUGGAAACAGCCUGGACACACUCCUCAGAGAGGCAGUCUUUGCUGCUGGCUGCAGGCAGGAAGCCCAGCAGCAAGGGCCCAGGCUGCUACAGUUAGCUUGGCAUGUACUACCAGCAAUGCUCUUGCAGCCCACAGCAUGUGCAGGGCAGUGCCAGCCAAAACAGGCAACUUGCUCUGACAGCAUUGUCACAGUGACCAAGGGAGCUUUGGCAGUUCCUGUUGAUUGGAGGCAAAGCCCCCAAACCAUGUUCCAGGCUUCAAAACAACAAGCAUCAUCACAAAACCUCCCAGUGAUGGAGCUCAGGGGUUAGUGCCCAACUUGCAAGGACUACAUUGAGAAAUAAAGUUCAUUAUAACCUGUGACUCAACUCUUGCUGGAGGUCUGAGUAUGCACCCGAAAGUGCUGCUUAGCCAGCCUGGGGCUGUGCACAGCCUGAAAUUUUUAAAGGCAGGCAGCUUGCUCUCCUGUCCUGUAAUGGCUGUGUGCUCUGGGUCACUGGUUGGCUGCUGCUGUUUAUCUUCCAGUGAUUAAUGGUUGCUCUUGGUUCCUGCUGCAAUUCCAUUAAGAUUAGAGACUUAAAGCUGUACUGAGAUGUUUAGCAGUGGAUGACCCUGGUCUCCCCAUAAUUGUACUUCUGUAGUCUUGAGAAAACAAAGAUUAACUCUU